Molecule: long non-coding RNA, 218 nt
Organism: Juglans microcarpa x Juglans regia
Lineage: Eukaryota; Viridiplantae; Streptophyta; Magnoliopsida; Fagales; Juglandaceae
Exons: 3
Source: RefSeq, a predicted model, not a curated record
AAACAAGAAGAAGAAGAAGAAUAAGAGAGAGAGAGAGUGAGAGAUCAUCCUGAUUCAAAUUCAGGGUAAAUUCAAGCUUAGAAAAGAAAAACUUCAAAGAUAGGAACAACGUGAAAUUAUGGAUUUCCUUAUGGUUUUAUAAGGAAAACCUCACAUUUUAAACCUAAUGGAUAAUUUACAAUGUACCAUGCCAAGUAAAGGAAGAAUUAAGAAUAAAA